Long non-coding RNA from Oenanthe melanoleuca, 1364 nucleotides. RefSeq lists it as uncharacterized. The transcript has 3 exons. NCBI's taxonomy places the organism in Eukaryota, Metazoa, Chordata, Aves, Passeriformes, Muscicapidae. The record is from RefSeq and is a predicted model, not a curated record.
GGAAAGUGCAGCUGGGUGUGCAUUCUGAGAACAUGCUCAUUGUGAGACUGCUGGAGUAGAACAAGAAGCGACUGUUUUGCUGCAUCAUGUAUGAAAUGUUUCACUUCAUUGCAAUACCAAGGCUGCAAUCCUUCUUUCAAACUUACUAAACCUGGAUGCCAGCCAGCGAGGAACAACAAUAUCUUGACAGGGAGCCUCAUGCAUCCCACACGGGUCAUCUACAUUGUCUGGGCUCCGUGUGCAUCAGAGAUUACAACAGUGGAAAACAAAAGAAUUACGCAACACAAAGGUCUUGAUGAGAGUAAACAAGAGAAACGUGACUUACUGCUGAAGCACUUUCCUGCCUGUACUUGAAGCAGAGGGAUAAGAGGAGGUCCACCCUUCAAAUCUUCCCAGACAGUAACACACAAAUACAAGAAAUAAGCAACGGGAGUCUCAUGUACUGUUGUCCGGAGUUUCUGUUUAGUCAGUACUUUCCUAGGGCAAAGAUAAAGGACUAAAUUGUAUGCAAUUUCAUGAAAAGAAACAUGCUUUUUUUUUUUUUGUUAAGUGAUAACAAUGAUAAAGUCUUAGGUAAAUUAAAAGCAUGUGACUGAAGUCAAACCUGAUUUAUUCCAAAGGAAAAUCAACCAUACCCAUGAGAGAGUUUGACUGAGAGUGAGGCUGUGGGACUGGUAAAAUCCUGGUCUGUUCUGAAAGAGGUUGUUUGACCUCACACUAAAUGGCAUAGCAAUGUGGCUAGCUGAAGUAGCUCAGAGCUUUGGCACAACUGCCCCUCUAAGCACCUGCUCUGUGAAUGUUCAGCUUGCCAAGGCUCAGCAGGCUCCCCAGCCACAGCAACAUGUGCCCAAGGCACCACUGCCAUCACUUUAGCCCUGCCUUGGGCUCUGCAUGUGCCAGCAGUGGACCAUCCCUGCUUUGGAGGAAGGGGGUUGCAAAAUUGGGUGUAUUAAACUGGAAAUUAGAUUAAUUUCUUCUCUCCAGCACACUGCUUCAGUAGGCACAAGUACAUCUGCUCCAUGUGGAAAGGAGAGACCCAGUCAGAAACCUGCUGAGGCUGGGGUUCAAUGCAUUAAAAAAUUGAUGGGGAGCUUACUGCCAAGAAGCUCUUGGAAAGAUGCUGUCUAGUGACCUAGGAUGUUGGGAAGCCUCAAGGCACAACAAAUACUGAAUUUUUGUUGCCUGCCCUUUUGCAUGUAUUGAGUAUUUGGUAGAGUCAGUGUCUUGGGAGAAAGCUUGUGCCUGUCUAUGAGCUGUGUUUUGAGAUAUCCUUGGAGGUAGUGCAAAAUGUAAACAAUCAGAGGUAGCUCAAUAAUAAGAUUUAAGCAGAAUUUAGGUAUACCUGACAAAGAUGUACUAUUCUG